GAAUAGCCCUCUUUUGAUUUUGUUUGCCAAGUAGGUACAUAUAGACUGUGAACAAGUCACCCCUUAAGCAUCUCUUGGUUAAGCUAAAAGAUAGAGCUCAUUGAGUCUAUCACUGUAAGGCAUGGUUUCCAAUCCUUUAAUAAUUCUCAUGGCUCUUUUCUGAACCCUCUCCAAUUUAUAACCCUCCUUCUUGAAUUGUGAGCAUAAGAACUG
This is a long non-coding RNA of Dermochelys coriacea (leatherback sea turtle), 213 nucleotides long. RefSeq lists it as uncharacterized. Lineage: Eukaryota; Metazoa; Chordata; Testudines; Dermochelyidae. The transcript is spliced from 3 exons. The record is from RefSeq and is a predicted model, not a curated record.